RNAcentral lists this ribosomal RNA (506 nucleotides) under uncultured bacterium. RNAcentral's name for it is "partial 16S ribosomal RNA". It matches the Rfam family "Bacterial small subunit ribosomal RNA", at positions 29 to 526 of the family's 1533-position model. The record is from RNAcentral.
AGUGAACGCUGGCGGCAGGCCUAACACGUGCAAGUCGAACGGCAGCACAGGAGAGCUUGCUCUCUGGGUGGCGAGUGGCGGACGGGUGAGGAAUGCGUCGGAAUCUGCCUAUUUGUGGGGGAUAACGUAGGGAAACUUACGCUAAUACCGCAUACGACCUACGGGUGAAAGUGGGGGACCGCAGGGCCUCACGCAGAUAGAUGAGCCGACGCCGGAUUAGCUAGUUGGCGGGGUAAAGGCCCACCAAGGCGACGAUCCGUAGCUGGUCUGAGAGGAUGAUCAGCCACACUGGAACUGAGACACGGUCCAGAAUCCUACGGGAGGCAGCAGUGGGGAAUAUUGGACAAUGGGCGCAAGCCUGAUCCAGCCAUGCCGCGUGUGUGAAGAAGGCCUUCGGGUUGUAAAGCACUUUUGUCCGGAAAGAAAAGCAUUCGGCUAAUAACCGGGUGUUAUGACGGUACCGGAAGAAUAAGCACCGGCUAACUUCGUGCCAGCCGCCGUAAUAC